GCGAAUUUAAUUAUCAGGUUAAUUAGCACAGCUCUUACCUCAGAUGUAUUUCUUUAUGUUAGGGACAUUCUCCUUUCUCAAUGACUUUGAAAUAUGCACUUAACGAUUAUCAGCCCUGGUUCUUCUUCCUACCUGAGUGCACCCCUGUGUCCACUGACUGUGCUCUUUACAUCCCUUUCCAGGCUGGAGACCUGCAGCAAAGCUCUGUGUGCUUUCCAAACCCCAAGCUGAUUCCCCCGAGUGAAGAGCCUUUUACAACUGUCAUUCUCAAUAUCACCACCUUGUCUACUGUGGCACUUCAUGUUUUAAAUUCCCCAAAAGGCCCAUGUGCUUGAGACUUGAUCCUGGACAUGUAAAGCCAUUAGGGGACCUUUGGGUAAGUAGAACAAAAUUGGCAUACGCUGGGAUAUGGUGACCCUGGAUUUCUCUUCUUUAUCACAUCUUGGCCACUGUGAAGGAUGCACACCACCAGGACAUGCUACCUCACCAUUAGCCCCACAACCACGAGCUAAUUAACAAUGGACUGACACUUCCAAUUGUGUCUUUUCACCGGGAAAUUGAAACAAACAUCUAUUCACCCCAGAUACUGCACCAAUGACAGAACUGCAGUCCCACUGAAGUCCAACUUUGAAAACCUAGGAAUUUAUUUAUAUUUACCUAUAGAGUAUGGGUAAGUUAGGUGUCUACAAAAUAGAUGUCACCCUCAUGGCUGUGUCAUGGACUCCCCUCUCAACCCUCCAUUCUCCAUAUAUUCUAGCACCUCCCAACCUCAUUUGCAGGAAGGAAUAAUGGCUGGGUUUCCGGAUGAGGGUCCUUUGACUUCCUGUCUGCCAUUCUAUAAGGAAAUGUCCACAGCUCCAUUGUCAUAAUCAUAGACAUAGCUACCUCUGGACUGGUCCACUCGAUUACUUGCCAGAGCUACCAAGCCAUGGUAACUCAACUCUAAGAUGGCAAUGGGGUAAGCUUGUUAUACCUAGAAGAAAAGAAACUAAAAUCAACUUCUCUCCUUUGAGGUUGAUUAUCUUACGUAUAGUAACAGGAAGCUGACCUACUUUCUCCUUGUCUAAAGGGGUCAGCUUGCCUUCCCUGGGUAGAUGCUAAAUGCUGUUCCUCAAGUUCCUGAUUCCACUUUUCUUUCUCCCCAGCAGUGUCUUUUGGGGCUUUCAGAUUAAUCAGCUUCCAUUUCAGAACCUGCUACUCCUCUGUUCCCUUCCCGUCGAGUCAUAGGACAAACUCCAUGAUAGUGUGUUCCUUUCCCAAACAUCUCCAGCCUGUGAUGUCUUCCCUUCAGCUGCCAGCGAGAGUCCUGUUAACCAGCCAAUCUUGAAAUUCCUCUGAAGACAGAUAAGAAACACAUUUGCUCUUGAAACAGCUCCCCGGCACAUUUAAAUGUACCCAUUCUGUUGCUUUCUGUUUGCUCAGAGCCUUGGCUAUAGGAUGGAGACCGAGUUUCAGUGACAGAUGGUGGAGGAUAAUCUUUCAUUUUGUCAUAAAGGUAACCCUCUGAGGAGCCUGGAAAAGACUUUCCACUUGGAAAAUCUGGCUGAAUAAGGCAUGUUUGUAACCAGAUGGAAAGGGGGGAAAGGCUCUUUUUCUAUUUUUCAAGCUAGAGGGCUUACAUGCCUUUACUUUUAGGCGAACCUCACUAUGACAAUCUGUCCUCUGCACUCAGAUUUAUUUGUGACACCAUCAGUGCCUGUGCAUGUUAAUUAAUGAUGAUUGCACUGUGCUUGAACCCCAGCAAUAAAUAAGAAAAUGAGGCUAUUAAAGAUAAUCCAAUAAACAAACCCAUGAAAA
This 1797-nucleotide small RNA is filed under the name Rattus norvegicus (Norway rat). RNAcentral describes it as "uncharacterized LOC102551544". Lineage: Eukaryota; Metazoa; Chordata; Mammalia; Rodentia; Muridae. The record is from RNAcentral.